CCCUUAGAUGUUCUGGGCCGCACGCGUGCUACACUGAGUGGAUCAGCGGGUCAGGUUGCGCGAAAGCGUUUCCUAAUCUUUAAAUCCGCUCGUGAUGGGGAUUGACGGUUGCAAUUUUCUGUCAUGAACGAGGAAUACCUUGUAAGCGCGGGUCAUCAUCCCGCGCGGAAUACGUCCCUGCCCUUUGUACACACCGCCCGUCGCUCCUACCGAUUGAGUGGUCCGGUGAGGCUUUGGGAUCUGAGCGGAAAGAGCGUUUCGCUGUUUCUGCUCGGAAAACUCAGUCGAACCUUAUCAUUUAGAGGAAGGAGAAGUCGUAACA
RNAcentral lists this ribosomal RNA (322 nucleotides) under uncultured eukaryote. RNAcentral describes it as "partial 18S ribosomal RNA". It matches the Rfam family "Eukaryotic small subunit ribosomal RNA", at positions 1470 to 1796 of the family's 1831-position model. The record is from RNAcentral.